Molecule: ribosomal RNA, 946 nt
Filed under: uncultured Prolixibacter sp.
Lineage: Bacteria; Pseudomonadati; Bacteroidota; Bacteroidia; Marinilabiliales; Prolixibacteraceae
Description: partial 16S ribosomal RNA
Source: RNAcentral
UACCUUGUUACGACUUAGCCCCAGUCACUAGUUUUACCCUAGGCCGCUCCUUUCGGUUACGGACUUCAGGCACCCCCAGCUUCCAUGGCUUGACGGGCGGUGUGUACAAGGCCCGGGAACGUAUUCACCGCGCCAUGGCUGAUGCGCGAUUACUAGCGAAUCCAGCUUCACGAAGUCGAGUUGCAGACUUCGAUCCGAACUGAGACCGGUUUUCGAGAUUAGCAUCCUGUCACCAGGUAGCUGCCCUCUGUACCGACCAUUGUAACACGUGUGUAGCCCUGGACAUAAGGGCCGUGCUGAUUUGACGUCAUCCCCACCUUCCUCUCACCUUACGGUGGCAGUUUCGCUAGAGUCCCCUGCUUUACCAGAUGGCAACUAACGAUAAGGGUUGCGCUCGUUAUGGGACUUAACCCGACACCUCACGGCACGAGCUGACGACAACCAUGCAGCACCUUGCAGAAAGCCCCGAAGGGAAUUCCUAUCUCUAGAAAAUGCACUCUACAUUUAAGCCCAGGUAAGGUUCCUCGCGUAUCAUCGAAUUAAACCACAUGUUCCUCCGCUUGUGCGGGCCCCCGUCAAUUCCUUUGAGUUUCAACCUUGCGGCCGUACUCCCCAGGUGGAUUACUUAUCGCUUUUGCUUAGCCGCUGACAGUGUAUCGCCAACAGCGAGUAAUCAUCGUUUACGGCGUGGACUACCAGGGUAUCUAAUCCUGUUCGAUCCCCACGCUUUCGUGCCUCAGCGUCAGUGUCGGCUCAGUAAGCUGCCUACGCAAUUGGUGUUCCGUGUAAUAUCUAAGCAUUUCACCGCUACAUUACGCAUUCCGCCUACCUUAACCAAACUCAAGGCUAUCAGUAUCAAUGGCAGUUCUGCAGUUAAGCUGCAGGAUUUCACCACUGACUUAAUAGUCCGCCUACGCACCCUUUAAACCCAAUGAAUCCGGAUAAC